Molecule: non-coding RNA, 172 nt
Filed under: human gut metagenome
Source: RNAcentral
CGGAGAGGCUUUGACGGCGAUUAAAAGGGAAUCAGGUGAGAGGCCUGGACAGACCCGCUACUGUAUGUUCCAUAUCAACCGACCGGGCACAAUCAUAGUGUCACUGACCGCGAUGGCGGUCGGGAAGGCAGUCCGGGAGGGGAACGAGUCAGGAGACCUGCCAUGUGACUUG